GCUGGGCAUGGUGGUGAGUGCCUGUAAUCCCAGCUACUCGGGAGGCUGAGGCAGGAGAAUUGCUCGAACCCAGGAGGCAGAGGUUGCAGUGAGCCAAGAUUGCACCAUUGCAAUCCAGCCUGGGCAACAGAGCAAGACUCUGUCUCAA
This 148-nucleotide non-coding RNA is filed under the name Nomascus leucogenys (northern white-cheeked gibbon). The record is from Rfam by way of RNAcentral. Lineage: Eukaryota; Metazoa; Chordata; Mammalia; Primates; Hylobatidae.